Macadamia integrifolia is the source of this 2380-nucleotide long non-coding RNA. RefSeq lists it as uncharacterized. The transcript has 4 exons. NCBI's taxonomy places the organism in Eukaryota, Viridiplantae, Streptophyta, Magnoliopsida, Proteales, Proteaceae. The record is from RefSeq and is a predicted model, not a curated record.
UCUUCUUCUACUUCUCCGCAUCUAUCUCCAUCUCCGUCUCCGGCUCCCACUCCCUCCCUUUCUCGUUUUCUUCGCAAAGUCACUGCAACUCACGUACGUGUCUCCUUCUCCCUCUCCCGCUCCCACCCCUGAUCCAUCGUUCACCCCAACCCUCUCCCCUCCCAAUUCACCAAGCAGCAGACCAGCAAUAAGCAACCAGCGAGCAACAACCAGCGACUAGAGAGACCUGCGAGGAGUGAGCUAAAUCUCUAUAACGUUUAACCUAGCUCCACUUUAUGCCAGAGCUACCUCCCUUUCUCUUGUUUCAAAUUUCAAACCAGAACAAUGGCGGACAAAGGUGAAGGUCUAGCCAUCGGUAUCGAUCUAGGAACUACAUACUCUUGUGUUGGAGUAUAGCAACACGAUCGUAUUGAAAUCAUAGCUAAUGAUCAAGGUAACAGGACUACUCCUUUGUACUUUGCCUUCACCGAUUCAGAGCGUUUGAUCGGAGAGGCGGCAAAGAACCAAGUGGCGAUGAAUCCGAUCAACACCUUUUUUUUGAUUUGCCAACGUUAGCACGGAAUGUGAGUAAUCAGGCUCUGAAGAUCGAACUAUUUAGAGAAAAAAUCUGCCCUCAGUCAGAAGGUCGGUCGUUCUCUGUGGUCUACGUGCACACAGAUGUGCGGAGGAGCGAGAAUUUCCCCAGAAUCUCAACCCUAAGUGAUUCUGAUCAACGUCAAAGAAGAAUCUCGAGGCGGUUGGCUUACUUUGUUCAUCCAGGUCUUCAGGCCAGGCUUUUCCUCCCCACCUGCGAUCGUUUUCUCUUCAGUGGAGGGUUGUACGGGUACAAAUUUUCAAGGCUCCGUUUAGCUCAACUAUUUCAUGGCUUUGAGUGAAACCUCCAGUCUGCAAAUUAAGAAGUCUCUAUUUAUGUCUAUGGAAUUUGUUAGAAUUGCUUGAACACUCUUCAUACUUAGAAGAUGAAGGAUACAAAUUUUGCAUACUUUUCUCUAAUACGUCUUGUAGGUUUGAAUCCAAUGUCCUUGUAAACAUGAGUCCCUUAUCAAAGCUCGUCUCAAGUCUGUUUGAGAUGAUUCGAUUAUGGGUUUGUGUGAUUUCAUGAACUGCAUUUGCUAAUAAAACCACAAGAAUUGGUUUGUUUACAAAGUGUAAAAAUAUUAGAGGGCCAUAAGUUUGAGUCGAAUUGGAGUGUACAUUUGAUUUGGCAAAGAAUCUAAUUGAUGUAGGUUUUCUAUAAUAGGGAGUUUGAAUGGGAAAAGUGGUAGACUUCGUCCGCUAUUUCCUAGUCCAGUAUUCUUAGAAAAGAACACAAAGAGCAGAAGAAAGCAAACAAGAUUUGCCACUGAAAGAGAGAAAGCAAAGAAAGAUAUCUUUCACUUGUCUUGCAUUUUGCCUGCAAGACAUAAACAUAGACUUCUUAGUUUGCGGAUAAAUGGUUUCACUCAAAGCUAAAAUACUUGCAAUGCGGGAGAGGGGAUAAGAACAAGAGGAAAAUCAAAGGAUCUGUUGUGUUGAUGAAGAAAAAUGUCUUGGACUUCAACGACUUACACGCCUCUGUACUCCACCGGGUUCAUGAGUUCUUGGGAAAGGAGUUUCAAUCCAGCUCAUCAGUGCUGUUCAUGGUGAUCUAGGCAAAGUGCAAGACAAGGGAAAGAUGUCUAUUAUUUUGCAAUGGUUAUUUCAUGUCUUCUUCUUGUUUCUUUGUUUUCUCCUUCCCUUUGUGGUCUUUUUCAAGAAUACUAGACUAGGAAAUCGGCGACGAAACCUAUCACCUUCCUCAUUCAAGCUCCCUAUAAUAGAGAAUUUCCAUCAAUUAGGCUCUUUACCACACCAAAAACUCCAAUCUUUGGCUCAAACUCAUGACCCUCUUAUGCUGUUGCACUUUAGAAGCAAACCAAUUCUUGUAGUUUCAUCAGCCGAUGUGGUUUGUGAAAUCACCCAAAUCCAUGACCUAAUCAUCUCAAGCAGACCUGAGACGAGUUUUGGUAGGCGACUCUUUUAUGAUUACAAGGACAUUGGAUUCACACCCUCUGACGUGUAUCGGAGAAAAGUACGCAAAAUUUUUGUCUUCCAUCUUCUAAGUAUGAAGAGGGUUCAAAGCCAAGUAAAAAAAAAAAAAUCUCAUCUGGUUAUUUAUUUAUUUAUUUGGAUACACGGUUAUGUACCCUAUUACUUAGAACUGUGGAUGUCGGUAAAAAACGAUCUGUUACUUGAGGUUCAUGGUUUCCAAGACAAGAAAAGUUUGAUCCACUAGUCCUGUGCGGUGUGGUGUGACAAGGAAGGACAAAGAGCAAAAUAUAGCAUUUGCUUUGCUCUACUUUUGUCUACGCUUCCAACACAUGGAAUAUUUUAUAUUAAUAAAUUUUCACUUUUUGUGUUU